UUGUGUAAGAUCCUUCAUUGAGCCUCAGACACACCAAGUUAAAUGUCCAAUGACGGCUAAGUGAAGUGGCUCUACGUAGUACACAUAUAUGAAUGCCUUGUUUCACAAAAAAGAACACUGCUCAGAUAUUUUCUCUGGACUGUCAAUUUCUGCGUUUCAUAAUCAUGUGAUACCUGUGUUGGAGCCCUCCCAAAAACCUCCCCUUUAAGAUUUCAAAGUUAAGGAGAUCAUUCAAAUGACAGAGGUUUUGGUCCAUGUUGGUUUGUCUCAACAGUUAAUCUUUUGGAAAUUAAGCAGUGUUGGAGAAAAUAUCAGCAACAUGU
Saccostrea echinata is the source of this 323-nucleotide long non-coding RNA. RefSeq lists it as uncharacterized. The transcript has 3 exons. Lineage: Eukaryota; Metazoa; Mollusca; Bivalvia; Ostreida; Ostreidae. The record is from RefSeq and is a predicted model, not a curated record.